AACAAUCGCAGUCUACCCUUUCCUCUCUGACCCUUUGCCGCCGCCUCUGAUUUCUCACUGUGAAUACCACUAGAACGAAAGACCUCCCAAAGGCGUUCUUGAAACGAAAGUGCGAUAAGGGGUUAAAGAAAAAUCCAAGAAGAACUCUAUGUCUUCUUUUUCCUCUUUUGGAAUUCUAAGACAAAAUACCAAAACACAAAAAUUUUUGAUUCUUGUUAUAGUUUUCUUCCUCAAGACACAAGAAGUAAUAAAAAGGUUUUCUGAUAUGAGCGUUGAGCUCAGAUUUGUUCGCGGAUCCAUCGAGGUUGUCGCAUCCAAGGUUUCUGGUCCUAAACAUUUUCUGAUUCAAAGAGCUUUCGCUCCUGAGUUGAUCGAGUAUUCCGGUCUAAGUGGAGAGGGUCGAUUUUGUCGUCGGUGUGAGGUUCUGUUCGAGGCUCCGUUGUGUUCCUAUCCCCGUUGGCAUCUUUGGUCGCUGCUCAAUUUUUUCAGCCGGAUUUCCAUUGCUCUUCAACAUACAGAACUUUAAACUCAGAGUUUCAUUAAUCGAAAAGAAAUCCGCUCACUAAGAUCCAUUUCUUAUACCUAUUUUGUUUCAUCUCAUUAUACUAGUUGAUGAAUUGUGUUAA
Nicotiana tabacum (common tobacco) is the source of this 626-nucleotide non-coding RNA. The record is from RefSeq and is a predicted model, not a curated record. NCBI's taxonomy places the organism in Eukaryota, Viridiplantae, Streptophyta, Magnoliopsida, Solanales, Solanaceae.